UUUCCGGUUGAUCCCGCCGGACCCUACUGCUAUUGGGGUGGGACUAAGACAUGCGAGUCGUGCGUCUCCAAGCUAUGGUAGAGACGCGGCGUACGGCUCAGUAACACGUGGUUAACCUACCCUUAGGACGGGGACAACCCCGGGAAACUGGGGCUAAUUUCUGAUAGGUGAGGAGGCCUGGAAUGGUUCUUCGCCGAAAAGGCGUUGAAACCACGCUUUUCAACGUCGCCUAAGGAUGGGGCCGCGCCCGAUCAGGUUGUUGGUGAGGUAACGGCUCACCAAGCCUAUAACCGGUACGGGCCGUGAGAGCGGGAGCCCGGAGAUGGGCACUGAGACAAGGGCCCAGGCCCUACGGGGCGCAGCAGUCGCGAAAACUCCGCAAUGCGCGAAAGCGUGACGGGGCUACCCCGAGUGCCGUCCGCUGAGGAUGGCUUUUCCCCGGUGUAAUGAGCCGGGGGAAUAAGGAGAGGGCAAGACCGGUGUCAGCCGCCGCGGUAAUACCAGCUCUCCGAGUGGUAGGGACGAUUAUUGGGCUUAAAGCGUCCGUAGCCGGCUUAGCAAGUCUCCUGUUAAAUUCAGCGACUCAAUCGUUGAGCCGCGGGAGAUACUACUAGGCUAGGAGGCGGGAGAGGUCGACGGUAUUCCCGGGGGAGGGGUGAAAUCCUAUAAUCCCGGGAGGACCACCAGUGGCGAAGGCUGUCGGCUAGAACGCGCUCGACGGUGAGGGACGAAAGCUGGGGGAGCGAACCGGAUUAGAUACCCGGGUAGUCCCAGCUGUAAACGAUGCGGGCUAGGUGUUGAGGUGGCUACGAGCCACUUCAGUGCCGCAGGGAAGCCAUUAAGCCCGCCGCCUGGGGAGUACGGCCGCAAGGCUGAAACUUAAAGGAAUUGGCGGGGGAGCACCACAAGGCGUGAAGCUUGCGGUUCAAUUGGAGUCAACGCCGGGAA
Molecule: ribosomal RNA, 948 nt
Filed under: uncultured archaeon
Lineage: Archaea
Description: bacterial SSU rRNA
Rfam family: Archaeal small subunit ribosomal RNA
Source: RNAcentral